CGCUAGCGGCAGGCCUAACACAUGCAAGUCGAGGGGUAACAGGGAGCUUGCUCCGCUGACGACCGGCGCACGGGUGCGCAACGCGUAUGCAAUCUACCUCUUACUAAGGGAUAGCCCAGAGAAAUUUGGAUUAAUAUCUUAUGUGAUAUUAGACUGGCAUCGGUUUAAUAUUAAAGGUUACGGUAAGAGAUGAGCAUGCGUCUCAUUAGUUAGUUGGUAAGGUAACGGCUUACCAAGACUUCGAUGAGUAGGGGUCCUGAGAGGGAGAUCCCCCACACUGGUACUGAGACACGGACCAGACUCCUACGGGAGGCAGCAGUGAGGAAUAUUGGACAAUGGACGGAAGUCUGAUCCAGCCAUGCCGCGUGUAGGAAGACUGCCCUAUGGGUUGUAAACUACUUUUAUACAGGAAGAAUAAGAUCUACGUGUAGAUUGAUGACGGUACUGUAAGAAUAAGGACCGGCUAACUCCGUGCCAGCAGCCGCGGUAAUACGGAGGGUCCGAGCGUUAUCCGGAAUUAUUGGGUUUAAAGGGUCCGUAGGCGGGCUGUUAAGUCAGAGGUGAAAUGCUGCGGCUCAACCGUAUGCACUGCCUUUGAUACUGGCGGUCUUGAGUUAUAGUGAAGUGGCUAGAAUAAGUAGUGUAGCGGUGAAAUGCAUAGAUAUUACUUAGAAUACCGAUUGCGAAGGCAGGUCACUAACUAUACACUGACGCUGAUGGACGAAAGCGUGGGUAGCGAACAGGAUUAGAUACCCUGGUAGUCCACGCCGUAAACGAUGGAUACUAGCUGUUCGGUUUUCGGACUGAGCGGCCAAGCGAAAGUGAUAAGUAUCCCACCU
This 839-nucleotide ribosomal RNA is filed under the name Cellulophaga sp. NN016046. Its description in RNAcentral is "bacterial SSU rRNA". It matches the Rfam family "Bacterial small subunit ribosomal RNA", at positions 34 to 874 of the family's 1533-position model. The record is from RNAcentral. Lineage: Bacteria; Pseudomonadati; Bacteroidota; Flavobacteriia; Flavobacteriales; Flavobacteriaceae.